RNAcentral lists this ribosomal RNA (346 nucleotides) under uncultured bacterium. RNAcentral's name for it is "partial 16S ribosomal RNA". It matches the Rfam family "Bacterial small subunit ribosomal RNA", at positions 338 to 681 of the family's 1533-position model. The record is from RNAcentral.
CCUACGGGAGGCAGCAGUGAGGAAUAUUGGUCAAUGGGCGCGAGCCUGAACCAGCCAAGUAGCGUGAAGGAUGACUGCCCUACGGGUUGUAAACUUCUUUUAUAAAGGAAUAAAGUGAGGCACGUGUGCCUUUUUGUAUGGACUUUAUGAAUAAGGAUCGGCUAACUCCGUGCCAGCAGCCGCGGUAAUACGGAGGAUCCGAGCGUUAUCCGGAUUUCUUGGGUUUAAAGGGAGCGUAGAUGGGUUGUUAAGUCCGUUGUGAAAGUUUGCGGCUCAACCGUAAAAUUGCCAUUGAUACUGGCAGCCUUGCGUACAGUUGAGUUAGGCGGACUUCGUGUUGUAGCGG